ACGCUCGACACCUACGGGAGGUAGCAGUGGGGAAUAUUGCACAAUGGGGGAAACCCUGAUGCAGCGACGCCGCGUGAGUGAAGAAGUAUUUCGGUAUGUAAAGCUCUAUCAGCAGGGAAGAAGAUGACGGUACCUGAGUAAGAAGCCCCUGCUAACUACGUGUCAGCAGCCGCGGUAAUCUGAGCGGGCUGGCAAGGC
This 198-nucleotide ribosomal RNA is filed under the name uncultured bacterium. Its description in RNAcentral is "partial 16S ribosomal RNA". It matches the Rfam family "Bacterial small subunit ribosomal RNA", at positions 328 to 539 of the family's 1533-position model. The record is from RNAcentral.